CAAUAGCGUAUAUUAAAGUUGUUGCAGUUAAAAAGCUCGUAGUUGGAUUUGUGGCGUACGGUGGGUUCCGGGCACUUGUUGUCUGAGUAACUUGCUGUUGCCAUCCUUGGGUGGAACCUGUGUGGCAUUAGGUUGUCGUGCAGGGGAUGCCCAUCAUUUACUGUGAAAAAAUUAGAGUGUUCAAAGCAGGCUUAUGCCGUUGAAUAUAUUAGCAUGGAAUAAUGAGAUAGGACUUUUUUGCUAUUUUGUUGGUUUGCGCAAAGAGGUAAUGAUUAAUAGGGACAGUUGGGGGUAUUCGUAUUCCAUUGUCAGAGGUGAAAUUCUUGGAUUUUUGGAGGACGAACUACUGCGAAAGCAUUUACCAAGGAUGUUUUCAUUAA
Molecule: ribosomal RNA, 380 nt
Filed under: uncultured eukaryote
Lineage: Eukaryota
Description: partial 18S ribosomal RNA
Rfam family: Eukaryotic small subunit ribosomal RNA
Source: RNAcentral